RNAcentral lists this non-coding RNA (30 nucleotides) under Rattus norvegicus (Norway rat). Lineage: Eukaryota; Metazoa; Chordata; Mammalia; Rodentia; Muridae. The record is from RNAcentral.
UUGCUCAAUGAUGCCUGGGAUAAAUGUCUU